Molecule: ribosomal RNA, 420 nt
Filed under: Fusobacteriota bacterium
Lineage: Bacteria; Fusobacteriati; Fusobacteriota
Description: Fusobacteria bacterium partial 16S ribosomal RNA
Rfam family: Bacterial small subunit ribosomal RNA
Source: RNAcentral
UGGGGGAUAUUGCACAAUGGGCGAAAGCCUGAUGCAGCGACGCCGCGUGGGGGAUGAAGGCCUUCGGGUUGUAAACUUCUUUUGCUCUGAACAAGGCAUGCCUUUGGGGUGUGUUGAGUGUAGGGGUUGAUUAGCGCCGGCUAACUACGUGCCAGCAGCCGCGGUAAUACGUAGGGCGCGAGCGUUGUCCGGAAUUAUUGGGCGUAAAGGGCUUGUAGGUGGCUGGUUGCGUCUGUCGUGAAAGCUCAUGGCUUAACUGUGGGUUUGCGGUGGGUACGGGCUGGCUUGAGUGCAGUAGGGGAGGCUGGAAUUCCUGGUGUAGCGGUGGAAUGCGCAGAUAUCAGGAGGAAUACCGGUGGCGAAGGUGGGUCUCUGGGCUGUUACUGACGCUGAGGAGCGAAAGCGUGGGGAGCGAACAGG